Molecule: ribosomal RNA, 451 nt
Filed under: uncultured bacterium
Lineage: Bacteria
Description: partial 16S ribosomal RNA
Rfam family: Bacterial small subunit ribosomal RNA
Source: RNAcentral
AGCGAACGCUGGCGGCAGGCUUAACACAUGCAAGUCGAACGCUCGUAGCAAUACGGGAGUGGCAGACGGGUGAGUAACGCGUGGGAAUAUGCCUUUUGGUUCGGAAUAACUCAGGGAAACUUGAGCUAAUACCGGAUAAGCCCGUGAGGGGAAAGAUUUAUCACCAAAAGAUUAGCCCGCGUCCGAUUAGCUAGUUGGUGAGGUAAUGGCUCACCAAGGCGACGAUCGGUAGCUGGUCUGAGAGGAUGAUCAGCCACAUUGGGACUGAGACACGGCCCAAACUCCUACGGGAGGCAGCAGUGGGGAAUAUUGGACAAUGGGCGCAAGCCUGAUCCAGCCAUGCCGCGUGAGUGAUGAAGGCCUUAGGGUUGUAAAGCUCUUUUGUCCGGGAAGAUAAUGACGGUACCGGAAGAAUAAGCCCUGGCCAACUUCGUGCCAGCCACCGCAGUAA